This is a long non-coding RNA of Perca fluviatilis (European perch), 605 nucleotides long. RefSeq lists it as uncharacterized. The transcript is spliced from 3 exons. Lineage: Eukaryota; Metazoa; Chordata; Actinopteri; Perciformes; Percidae. The record is from RefSeq and is a predicted model, not a curated record.
CAUCGCUUCCGGCUGCCAUUUUUAGGUGAACGUCUGAAGUUAGAGCUGAAAUAUCUGUUAAUGUCCGGGUAUUAUAUAUAAAGUUUUAUGCUGGACAGAAGACUGCGGAGUUUUGAAAUGUCUUUAAAAGAGCGAAAUGCGAAAACCCUGAUGCCAACAGCAAGUACAGUGACCUUGAGAGGUGGGAAUGAGUGGGAGAUUAAGAUGAAUACCUAUGAAAAGACAAGGCAACCCUUGGUGUUCGAUACAGAAGCGUCAGUUAUGCCACAUCUCCACAAUUUGGUGGGAUGAAAGAGGACUACAUGAACAGAAAACCUACUACUGAAAACGGAGACACUGAAAUGUUCUGGGGUUUUUUCUGGACUUUCCAUCAUAUUAUGUCAUUGUCAGCCUGUGUACAGUGAGCCUUUAGUUUAUAUAAUGUGACAAAAGUUUUCAUUAAAAUAACAAGCAAGCCCUAAGUGUGUUAUUGUUAUGUUAAGAGUUUUAUCACUGACAUUUAUGAAUAGCUGUUGAGACAACUGUAAUACAAAAGGGCUUAGUCAGAAAGUUUACUUUGACUAUGCAAAUCACAGUGGUUCAAUAAAGUGGUUAUCAUUUUUUAU